Molecule: ribosomal RNA, 460 nt
Filed under: uncultured bacterium
Lineage: Bacteria
Description: partial 16S ribosomal RNA
Rfam family: Bacterial small subunit ribosomal RNA
Source: RNAcentral
CCUACGGGUGGCAGCAGUGAGGAAUAUUGGUCAAUGGACGAAAGUCUGAACCAGCCAAGUAGCGUGAGGGAUGACUGCCCUAUGGGUUGUAAACUUCUUUUAUAAAGGAAUAAAACGAGGCACGUGUGCAUUUUUGCAUGUACUUUAUGAAUAAGGAUCGGCUAAUUCCGUGCCAGCAGCCGCGGUAAUACGGAGGGUCCGAGCGUUAUCCGGAUUUAUUGGGUUUAAAGGGAGCGUAGGUGGGUGUUUAAGUCAGUUGUGAAAUUUUGCGGCUCAACCGUAAGAUUGCAAUUGAUACUGGCAGUCUGGAGUACAGGUGAGGUAGGCGGAAUUCGUGGUGUAGCGGUGAAAUGCUUAGAGAUCACGAAGAACCCCGAUUGCGAAGGCAGCUUACUAAACUGUUACUGACAUUGAUGCUCGAAAGUGUGGGUAUCAAACAGGAUUAGAUACCCGUGUAGUC